AGUAGUUCAGUGGUAGAACAUCACCUUGCCAAGGUGGGGGUCGCGGGUUCGAACCCCGUCUUCCGCUCCA
Molecule: transfer RNA, 70 nt
Filed under: Listeria monocytogenes
Lineage: Bacteria; Bacillati; Bacillota; Bacilli; Caryophanales; Listeriaceae
Description: tRNA-Gly
Rfam family: tRNA
About the family: Transfer RNA (tRNA) molecules are approximately 80 nucleotides in length.
Source: RNAcentral